UGAAAAACGUUUGAGAGGGACCGGCAUCAAUUCCUAAAAAGCAAUCGAAGCGACCCGGGGGCGGUGUGAGCCCGGGAUUGCCGGAAUUUUUGUGAAUCAGCCCUCAAGUUUCCUUUCUGAACCUUGCAGUAGGAAAGGACGUCCCAUCACGUUACGAUGUUUGAGCGGAUAAGCCGAAAUCAGGCUUAUCUAAAAGGGUGGUACCGCGAGAUCAAAGCCUUCUCGUCCCUUAU
This 233-nucleotide non-coding RNA is filed under the name Bacillus glycinifermentans. RNAcentral describes it as "T-box sequence". It matches the Rfam family "T-box leader". From Rfam's summary of the family: Uncharged tRNA acts as the effector for transcription antitermination of genes in the T-box leader family. T-boxes are found upstream of many aminoacyl-tRNA synthetase genes and some amino acid biosynthetic genes usually in Gram-positive bacteria. The anticodon of a specific tRNA base pairs to a specifier sequence within the T-box motif, and the NCCA acceptor tail of the tRNA base pairs to a conserved bulge in the T-box antiterminator hairpin. Lineage: Bacteria; Bacillati; Bacillota; Bacilli; Caryophanales; Bacillaceae. The record is from RNAcentral.